Molecule: long non-coding RNA, 294 nt
Filed under: Lathyrus oleraceus (garden pea)
Lineage: Eukaryota; Viridiplantae; Streptophyta; Magnoliopsida; Fabales; Fabaceae
Description: Pisum sativum (pea) long non-coding RNA (PSAT_LNC024810)
Source: RNAcentral
UUGCAAGGGAAAUAGUGUAGAACUUGUAAAAAAAAAAAUAAAGAAACAAUGCCUAAGUUGCUGGAAAAGAAAAUUGCAAAAGCGAAAAACGGCAAAAGAAAAAAAUUGGAAAAGCUUCGGAACCACUUUAGGUUUUUUUAGUGGCUAUUUAUAUUGGUGUCAUUAAGUAACUGCCUGCUGCCAAAAGGUCUUCAACGUGGCUAAUUGCAUGGCGUGGAUAUAGGGCCCAACACUCCUCAACGUCUCUUCAAGUCUCUGAGGCGUUACUUGCGCCAAAAAUGUAGGGGAAUGGUG